CCUCCAUUUCUUGGCACGCAUGUAGUUAUCAGUACUCAUGUGUGUAAUGUACGGAGGAAGAGUAACGAACGGUGCUAUGUCUUCGGUGCUGGUGUGUUUGAUUGUCCACCAGUUCUAUCCUCAAUCGCCGUGACAUGA
Nerophis lumbriciformis (worm pipefish) is the source of this 138-nucleotide non-coding RNA. Lineage: Eukaryota; Metazoa; Chordata; Actinopteri; Syngnathiformes; Syngnathidae. The record is from RefSeq and is a predicted model, not a curated record.